AAACAAUACCUUACAAAUUUAAAGUAGCAAGGUAAACGGUUGUUAGCAUUCAAGCUUUAUUCCAUUUAACUUACAUAUACGACGGUUGUCAUUAGGACACCCAGUUGACUUAUUGACAACUAAUAAUGGUUGUCAUAA
This 138-nucleotide unclassified non-coding RNA is filed under the name Moritella viscosa. Its description in RNAcentral is "putative sRNA". Lineage: Bacteria; Pseudomonadati; Pseudomonadota; Gammaproteobacteria; Alteromonadales; Moritellaceae. The record is from RNAcentral.